Molecule: ribosomal RNA, 273 nt
Filed under: uncultured bacterium
Lineage: Bacteria
Description: partial 16S ribosomal RNA
Rfam family: Bacterial small subunit ribosomal RNA
Source: RNAcentral
AUACGGAGGGGGCUAGCGUUGUUCGAAAUUACUGGGCGUAAAGCGCGUGUAGGCGGAUCGUUAAGUCAGGGGUGAAAGCCCGGGGCUCAACCCCGGAACUGCCCUUGAUACUGGCGAUCUAGAGUCCGGAAGAGGUGGGCGGAAUUCCCGGUGUAGAGGUGAAAUUCGUAGAUAUCGGGAGGAACACCAGUGGCGAAGGCGGCUCACUGGUCCGGUACUGACGCUGAGACGCGAAAGCGUGGGGAGCAAACAGGAUUAGAAACCCGGUAGUCC